AUAUUUAACCUGGCAGGGGAGAUACCAUGAUCACGAAGAUGGUUCUCCCAGGGCAUUGCACUCUAGAUGCGCUGACCCCCGUGAUUUCCCCAAAUGUGGGAAACUCAACUGCAUAAUUUGUGGUACUGGGGGACUUCAUUUGUGCUCUUUCCUG
This is a small nuclear RNA of Callithrix jacchus (white-tufted-ear marmoset), 154 nucleotides long. Its record names the gene U1. It matches the Rfam family "U1 spliceosomal RNA". From Rfam's summary of the family: U1 is a small nuclear RNA (snRNA) component of the spliceosome (involved in pre-mRNA splicing). Its 5' end forms complementary base pairs with the 5' splice junction, thus defining the 5' donor site of an intron. The record is from Ensembl. NCBI's taxonomy places the organism in Eukaryota, Metazoa, Chordata, Mammalia, Primates, Cebidae.